RNAcentral lists this ribosomal RNA (406 nucleotides) under uncultured bacterium. RNAcentral's name for it is "partial 16S ribosomal RNA". It matches the Rfam family "Bacterial small subunit ribosomal RNA", at positions 29 to 526 of the family's 1533-position model. The record is from RNAcentral.
AUUGAACGCUGGCGGCAGGCCUAACACAUGCAAGUCGAGCGAGCGGCGGACGGGGGAGUAAUGUCUGGGAAACUGCCUGAUAGAGGGGGAUAACUACUGGAAACGGUAGCUAAAACCGCGUACCAUCAGAUGUGCGCAGAUGGGAGUAGCUAGUAGGUGGGGUAACGGCUCACCUAGGCGACGAUCCCUAGCGGGUCUGAGAGGAUGACCAGCCACACUGGAACUGAGACACGGUCCAGACUCCUACGGGAGGCAGCAGUGGGGAAUAUUGCACAAUGGGCGAAAGCCUGAUCGAGCCAUGCCGCGUGAGUGAAGAAGGUCUUCGGGUUGUAAAGCACUGUCAGCGGGGAGGCGUUACCCGCCGAAGAAGCACCGGCUAACUCCGUGCCAGCAGCCGCGGUAAUUC